This 700-nucleotide ribosomal RNA is filed under the name uncultured diatom. Its description in RNAcentral is "bacterial SSU rRNA". It matches the Rfam family "Bacterial small subunit ribosomal RNA", at positions 94 to 825 of the family's 1533-position model. The record is from RNAcentral. Lineage: Eukaryota; Bacillariophyta.
AGUGGCGGACGGGUGAGUAACACGUAAGAAUUUGCCUUUAGGAGGGGGAUAACAACUGGAAACGGUUGCUAAUACCCCAUACGCUUUCGAGUGAAAUGGAUUUCCGCCUAAAGAGAAGCUUGCGGCUGAUUAGCUUGUUGGUAGGGUAAUGGCCUACCAAGGCGACGAUCAGUAUCUGGUUUGAGAGGACGAUCAGACACACUGGAACUGAGACACGGUCCAGACUCCUGCGGGAGGCAGCAGUAGGGAAUUUUCCGCAAUGGGCGAAAGCCUGACGGAGCAAUACCGCGUGAGGGAUGACUGCCUAUGGGUUGUAAACCUCUUUUUUCGGGGAGGAACAAAAUGACGUGUACCUGAAGAAUAAGCAUCGGCUAACUCCGUGCCAGCGGCCGCGGUAAGACGGAGGAUGCAAGUGUUAUCCGGAAUUACUGGGCGUAAAGCGUCUGUAGGUGGCUCGAUAAGUCAACUGUUAAAUCUUGAAGCUCAACUUCAAAAUCGCAGUCGAAACUAUCGGACUAGAGUAUAGUAGAGGUAAAGGGAAUUUCCAGUGGAGCGGUGAAAUGCGUAGAUAUUGGAAAGAACACCGAUGGCGAAAGCACUUUACUGGGCUAUUACUGACACUCAGAGACGAAAGCUAGGGUAGCAAAUGGGAUUAGAUACCCCAGUAGUCCUAGCCGUAAACAAUGGAUACUAGGUGUUG